GGACGAACGCUGGCGGCGUGCCUAAUACAUGCAAGUCGAACGGUCUUUCUAUGGAAGCUUGCUUCCACUGAGAAGAUAGUGGCGAACGGGUGAGUAACACGUGGGUAACCUGCCCAUAAGAGGGGGGAUAACAUCCGGAAACGGGUGCUAAUACCGCAUAGUUUUCUUGAUCGCAUGAUCGGGAAAGGAAAGACGGCCUUUGUGCUGUCGCUUAUGGAUGGACCCGCGGCGUAUUAGUUAGUUGGUGAGGUAACGGCUCACCAAGACGAUGAUACGUAGCCGACCUGAGAGGGUGAUCGGCCACAUUGGGACUGAGACACGGCCCAAACUCCUACGGGAGGCAGCAGUAGGGAAUCUUCCGCAAUGGACGAAAGUCUGACGGAGCAACGCCGCGUGAGUGAAAGAAGGUUUUCGGAUCGUAAAACUCUGUUGUCAGAGAAGAACAAGUUGGAGAGUAACUGCUCCAGCCUUGACGGUAUCUGACCAGAAAGCCACGGCUAACUACGUGCCAGCCGCGGC
This 519-nucleotide ribosomal RNA is filed under the name uncultured bacterium. RNAcentral's name for it is "bacterial SSU rRNA". It matches the Rfam family "Bacterial small subunit ribosomal RNA", at positions 27 to 518 of the family's 1533-position model. The record is from RNAcentral.